CCUACGGGCGGCAGCAGUGGGGAAUAUUGGACAAUGGGCGAAAGCCUGAUCCAGCCAUGCCGCGUGUGUGAAGAAGGCCUUCGGGUUGUAAAGCACUUUCAGUGGGGAAGAAAGCCUUGGGGCUAAUACCCUCGAGGAAGGACAUCACCCACAGAAGAAGCACCGGCUAACUCCGUGCCAGCAGCCGCGGUAAUACGGAGGGUGCGAGCGUUAAUCGGAAUUACUGGGCGUAAAGCGCGCGUAGGCGGUCUGAUAAGCCGGUUGUGAAAGCCCCGGGCUCAACCUGGGAACGGCAUCCGGAACUGGCAGGCUAGAGUGCAGGAGAGGAAGGUAGAAUUCCCGGUGUAGCGGUGAAAUGCGUAGAGAUCGGGAGGAAUACCAGUGGCGAAGGCGGCCUUCUGGACUGACACUGACGCUGAGGUGCGAAAGCGUGGGUAGCAAACAGGAUUAGAUACCCGAGUAGUC
This 465-nucleotide ribosomal RNA is filed under the name Vreelandella stevensii. RNAcentral describes it as "partial 16S ribosomal RNA". It matches the Rfam family "Bacterial small subunit ribosomal RNA", at positions 338 to 795 of the family's 1533-position model. Lineage: Bacteria; Pseudomonadati; Pseudomonadota; Gammaproteobacteria; Oceanospirillales; Halomonadaceae. The record is from RNAcentral.